Molecule: ribosomal RNA, 489 nt
Filed under: uncultured bacterium
Lineage: Bacteria
Description: partial 16S ribosomal RNA
Rfam family: Bacterial small subunit ribosomal RNA
Source: RNAcentral
AAUGAACGCUGGCGGCAUGCCUUACACAUGCAAGUCGAACGGCAACAUGACCUAGCUUUCUAGUUUUAUAGCGAGUGGCGAACGGGUGAGUAAUGCAUCGGAACGUGCCGUUUAUUGGGGGAUAACUUAACGAUAGUUACGCUAAUACCUCGUAUUCUCUGAUGAGUAAAGCAGGUUGGCUUCUUUCCUUGCUCGGGAAGAGCGUCCGGUGUCGUAUUAGCUAUGUUGUGAGGUAAGGGCUCACCAAGGGGACGAUCCGUAGCGGGUCUGAGAGGAUGAUCCGCCCCAGUGGGACUGAGAGACGACAUAGACUCCUACGGGCGGCAGCAGUGCGGAAUUGUGGAAAAUGGGCGGAAGACUGAUCAAGGCACGGAGCGUGAGUGCAGAAGGCCCUCGUGUUGUAAAGCUCUUUCGGCUGGGAAGACCUCGCACCCCUUAAUCCAGGGUGUGGAUGACGGUACGAGCAGAAGAAGAACCGGUUAAUUACGU